ACUUCAGAGGAUAGCAGAAGCGUUUGGGAAAGCGCGCCAGAGAGGGUGAGAGCCCCGUAAGCGAAAUCCAAAGAAGGCCUAUCAGUAUCCUGAGUAGGGCGGGACACGUGAAAUCCCGUUUGAAUCCGCGAGGACCAUCUCGCAAGGCUAAAUACUAACCAGUGACCGAUAGUGAACCAGUACCGUGAGGGAAAGGUGAAAAGAACCCCGGGAGGGGAGUGAAAGAGAACCUGAAACCGUGUGCCUACAAGUAGUCAGAGCCCGUUAACGGGUAAUGGCGUGCCUUUUGUAGAAUGAACCGGCGAGUUGCGUUAGUCAGCAAGGUUAAGUCAGAAAAGACGGAGCCGUAGCGAAAGCGAGUCUGAAGAGGGCGAGCAGUUGGCUGACGCAGACCCGAAACCAAGUGACCUACCCAUGACCAGGUUGAAGGCGCGGUAAAACGCGCUGGAGGACCGAACCCACGUAAGUUGAAAAUUGCGGGGAUGAGUUGUGGGUAGCGGUGAAAUUCCAAACGAACUUGGAGAUAGCUGGUUCUCUC
RNAcentral lists this ribosomal RNA (538 nucleotides) under Lactobacillus delbrueckii subsp. bulgaricus. RNAcentral describes it as "partial 23S ribosomal RNA". It matches the Rfam family "Bacterial large subunit ribosomal RNA", at positions 319 to 859 of the family's 2925-position model. The record is from RNAcentral. Lineage: Bacteria; Bacillati; Bacillota; Bacilli; Lactobacillales; Lactobacillaceae.